Molecule: ribosomal RNA, 544 nt
Filed under: Trichoderma brevicompactum
Lineage: Eukaryota; Fungi; Ascomycota; Sordariomycetes; Hypocreales; Hypocreaceae
Description: eukaryotic LSU rRNA
Rfam family: 5.8S ribosomal RNA (bases 176-329)
Source: RNAcentral
UGUGACGUUACCAAACUGUUGCCUCGGCGGGAUUUCUGCCCCGGGCGCGUCGCAGCCCCGGACCAAGGCGCCCGCCGGAGGACCAAUUUACAAACUCUUUUGUAUAUCCCAUCGCGGAUUCUUUACAUUCUGAGCUUUCUCGGCGCUCCUAGCGAGCGUUUCGAAAAUGAAUCAAAACUUUCAACAACGGAUCUCUUGGUUCUGGCAUCGAUGAAGAACGCAGCGAAAUGCGAUAAGUAAUGUGAAUUGCAGAAUUCAGUGAAUCAUCGAAUCUUUGAACGCACAUUGCGCCCGCCAGUAUUCUGGCGGGCAUGCCUGUCCGAGCGUCAUUUCAACCCUCGAACCCCUCCGGGGGGUCGGCGUUGGGGAUCGGCACUUACCUGCCGGCCCCGAAAUACAGUGGCGGUCUCGCCGCAGCCUCUCCUGCGCAGUAGUUUGCACACUCGCACCGGGAGCGCGGCGCGUCCACGGCCGUAAAACAACCCAAACUUCUGAAAUGUUGACCUCGGAUCAGGUAGGAAUACCCGCUGAACUUAAGCAUAUC